AGAAUCAACGCUGGCGGCGUGCCUCAGACAUGCAAGUCGUACGAUUAAAGCUCUCUUCGGAGAGUGCAUAAAGUGGCGUACGGGUGAGUAACACGUAAGUAAUCUACCUUUGAGUGGGGAAUAACAGUCGGAAACGACUGCUAAUACCGCAUAAUGCAGCGGCUCGACAUCGAGACAGUUGUUAAAGAAUUUAUUCGCUUAAAGAGGAGCUUGCGGCAGAUUAGCUAGUUGGUAAGGUAAUGGCUUACCAAGGCAACGAUCUGUAGCCGACCUGAGAGGGUGGUCGGUCACACUGACACUGAAUAACGGGUCAGACUCCUACGGGAGGCAGCAGUCGGGAAUUUUGGGCAAUGGGCGAAAGCCUGACCCAGCAACGCCGCGUGAAGGAUGAAGUAUUUCGGUAUGUAAACUUCGUAAGAAUGGGAAGAAUAAAUGACGGUACCAUUUGUAAGGUCCGGCUAACUACGUGCCAGCAGCCGC
This 480-nucleotide ribosomal RNA is filed under the name uncultured bacterium. RNAcentral's name for it is "SSU rRNA". It matches the Rfam family "Bacterial small subunit ribosomal RNA", at positions 26 to 518 of the family's 1533-position model. The record is from RNAcentral.